This 460-nucleotide ribosomal RNA is filed under the name uncultured bacterium. Its description in RNAcentral is "partial 16S ribosomal RNA". It matches the Rfam family "Bacterial small subunit ribosomal RNA", at positions 338 to 795 of the family's 1533-position model. The record is from RNAcentral.
CCUACGGGUGGCAGCAGUGAGGAAUAUUGGUCAAUGGACGAGAGUCUGAACCAGCCAAGUAGCGUGAAGGAUGACUGCCCUAUGGGUUGUAAACUUCUUUUAUAAAGGAAUAAAACGAGGCACGUGUGCCUUUUUGCAUGUACUUUAUGAAUAAGGAUCGGCUAACUCCGUGCCAGCAGCCGCGGUAAUACGGAGGAUCCGAGCGUUAUCCGGAUUUAUUGGGUUUAAAGGGAGCGUAGAUGGGUUGUUAAGUCAGUUGUGAAAGUUUGUGGCUCAACCGUAAAAUUGCAAUUGAUACUGGCAGUCGUGAGUACAGUUGAGGUAGGCGGAAUUCGUGGUGUAGCGGUGAAAUGCUUAGAUAUCACGAAGAACCCCGAUUGCGAAGGCAGCUUACUAAACUGUGACUGACAUUGAUGCUCGAAAGUGUGGGUAUCAAACAGGAUUAGAUACCCGAGUAGUC